This is a long non-coding RNA of Colossoma macropomum (tambaqui), 744 nucleotides long. RefSeq lists it as uncharacterized. The transcript has 4 exons. Lineage: Eukaryota; Metazoa; Chordata; Actinopteri; Characiformes; Serrasalmidae. The record is from RefSeq and is a predicted model, not a curated record.
AGGUAUGUGAGGACCUGUUGAGACCUAUUUGCUUGGACCAGUUUGUAAACCCACUGGGGGCUUUCUUGUGUGGCUCAAAGGGCAUGGCAGUGAGGAAGGCAGGAUGAUCAUUAUCGCAUUAUCGGAGGGGAUAAAAGUAGGAAGGGAACCUCUGCUCCACUGUAUGACGGAUGAGAGAGGCUAAGUUGCAGUUGUUGAACCAAAACCAGAGAAAGGAUGUCCAGGCUCUCCUUGAUGAUUUUUACCUUGGUCAUAAUGACCACUAUUUUGUGCAACCACUCAGUAUAUUCCCGAAAAAGACUUUUUAAGAGUGGACCUUUUAAAUGCAUAUUGCACAGUGGCAACUUCCAUGGCAUACACAGACAUUUCCUCCCCAGGGGUGGCACACAGUGUCGCUGCUGGAAGAAUUAUGAUGGUGAAAUCCUGGGACACUGUGAUAGAAUUCUCUACAGGGUUUCCACCCCUGUUUAAACUCCCAUAAUUGCAUUUCCGAGGGUUUUGUGGCAAAAUAUUCUUUGUCUGUAUUUCUUAACAUUCUGGCUACAUGCAGUAUAAUGUUCAACUGAACCCAAAUAUGUGAAUAUGAUGUCUAACACUGAUGGAAAGGACAUCUAUAUCUAGUUAUUGUAUUUUUCAUUCUUUUUUUCUUUGUAUUGACCCCUGAUUGUAAAGCUUUUUUAGCUUUGAAUAUAUUGUACAAUGGUAAUCCUAUGUACUUUGUUGCAGUUGCAUAAUGAAACCAAA